GCAGUGGGAGCCCCACCACCAAAGCAUUCUCUGGUGUUGAAGGCCCUGCAAAGCAGCAUCGCGGUGGCGGGGCGUCGUUUGCGACGCCCAACACACAAAACAAGCGGUGAGUGCUUUGGGGUGGGGUGACUGCGUACCUUUUGUAUAAUGGGUCAGCGACUUAUAUUCUGUAGCAAGGUUAACCGUAUAGGGGAGCCGUAGGGAAACCGAGUCUUAACCGGGCGUUAAGUUGCAGGGUAUAGACCCGAAACCCGGUGAUCUAGCCAUGGGCAGGUUGAAGGUUGGGUAACACUAACUGGAGGACCGAACCGACUAAUGUUGAAAAAUUAGCGGAUGACCUGUGGCUGGGGGUGAAAGGCCAAUCAAACCGGGAGAUAGCUGGUUCUCCCCGAAAGCUAUUUAGGUAGCGCCUCGUGAACUCAUCUCCGGGGGUAGAGCACUGUUUCGGCUAGGGGGCCAUCCCGGCUUACCAACCCGAUGCAAACUGCGAAUACCGGAGAAUGUUAUCACGGGAGACACACGGCGGGUGCUAACGUCCGUCGUGAAGAGGGAAACAACCCAGACCGCCAGCUAAGGUCCCAAAGUCAUGGUUAAGUGGGAAACGAUGUGGGAAGGCCCAGACAGCCAGGAUGUUGGCUUAGAAGCAGCCAUCAUUUAAAGAAAGCGUAAUAGCUCACUGGUCGAGUCGGCCUGCGCGGAAGAUGUAACGGGGCUAAACCAUG
Molecule: ribosomal RNA, 722 nt
Filed under: Salmonella enterica subsp. enterica
Lineage: Bacteria; Pseudomonadati; Pseudomonadota; Gammaproteobacteria; Enterobacterales; Enterobacteriaceae
Description: partial 23S ribosomal RNA
Rfam family: Bacterial large subunit ribosomal RNA (bases 100-722)
Source: RNAcentral